AAAUAUAUGUAAAUACUUCGUGGGAUCGGAAACUCUUCCUUCUGGGCGUAACACACAGAGACAUUCACCACAAAACUAAUAUAGCCCUAAACUCUGCGAGUGCCGGGUAUAACAAACUUUCUUUCAACUGGUGGUGGUUGGUUUUACAGCAACAUUUCGACCCUGCCUGUGUUUGGAUACCACGAAAGACUUCAAUGCCGAACGAGUUGUGUGUUGUGUUCGAACUUGCGUUGAGGGUGGACUCUCCUCCGGUCCUCGUCGUGCUUCAUACGAAUCAUAUUAUGGUUCCUACAUUAGGAUCCGAAAGGAAACAGAGCACUGCACUGCAAGUUUAUGGAUUAAAUGAAAGCAUUCGUUUCUCUCGCUCAUAUCGCAUGCUCGUCUCAUAAGGACUGGUCUCACAGUCUUCAAUGGCAGUAUGGAGGAAUACGAUCAUUAACGACGCACAUUCAAAAUGGCACUCAUCAAAUGCACGUAGCCCACAAACAAAUGAAAUGGAUUUCAAAUGUAUAUUUUGGAUAGAUAACAUGUAAAAAAAUCAAGGAGGAAUAAUUUAACGCAAAAUUAACAAACUGGGGCUCCUUCGUUCAAGUUGAGCUUUACAAUAACGUUUAUCAAAAGAUACAAAGAUAUAAGUUGGAUUAUUAUGUGGUACCAAUACCAACUUAUCACAUCAAACAUUUAAUUCUACAAUAAGAAAUUAAAAGUUUAAUCGUCAAGC
Long non-coding RNA from Drosophila miranda, 721 nucleotides. RefSeq lists it as uncharacterized. Lineage: Eukaryota; Metazoa; Arthropoda; Insecta; Diptera; Drosophilidae. The record is from RefSeq and is a predicted model, not a curated record. The transcript is spliced from 3 exons.